GUAUCCUGGCUCAGGAUGAACGCUAGCGGCAGGCUUAACACAUGCAAGUCGAGGGUAUAGUAGCAAUACUAGACGACCGCGCACGGGUGCGUAACGCGUAUGCAAUCUACCUUUGCAGAGGAUAGCCAGAGAAAUUUGGAUUAAUACCUCAUAGUAUAGUACUUUGGCAUCAAGGAACUAUUAAAGUCACAACGGCAAAAGAUGAGCAUGCGUCCCAUUAGCUAGUUGGUAAGGUAACGGCUUACCAAGGCUACGAUGGGUAGGGGUCCUGAGAGGGAGAUCCCCCACACUGGUACUGAGACACGGACCAGACUCCUACGGGAGGCAGCAGUGAGGAAUAUUGGACAAUGGGCGCAAGCCUGAUCCAGCCAUGCCGCGUGCAGGAUGACGGUCCUAUGGAUUGUAAACUGCUUUUAUACAGGAAGAAACACUCCGACGUGUCGGAGCUUGACGGUACUGUAAGAAUAAGGAUCGGCUAACUCCGUG
This 486-nucleotide ribosomal RNA is filed under the name uncultured bacterium. RNAcentral describes it as "bacterial SSU rRNA". It matches the Rfam family "Bacterial small subunit ribosomal RNA", at positions 14 to 507 of the family's 1533-position model. The record is from RNAcentral.